GCAUAUCACUAAGCGGAGGAAAAGAAACUAACUAGGAUUCCCCCAGUAACUGCGAGUGAAGAGGGAAGAGCUCAUCAUUGGAAUCUGGCAGUGUUGCACUGUCCGAGUUGUAGAUGAGGAGUAGUCCGUCUGGACUGCAUGGCGUCCAAGUACAAUAGGCCGUCAGUGGGACAUCAUAGAGGGUGACAAUCCCGUCCUUGACGCCAAUGUGCAAGUCUAUUACGAUGGCUAUCUCAGAGAGUCGAGCAGUUUGGGAUUUGCUGCUUAAACAUGGGAGGUAGAUUCCUUCUAAAGCUAAAUACAGGCGAGAGACCGAUAGAGAACAAGUACCGCAAGGGAAAGAUGAAAUAGCACUCUGUGAAGGGAGUCAAAAGGCGUGAAAUUGUUGCGAGAGAAGCGAUUCAAGUCAGCGUAGCUAGGCCCAUCAAGCGUCUUCGCUUUGGACUAGCUUUGCCAGCGGUCUUGUCCCUUGAAGAGACUUGACUUGUAAUAUGUCCAGCCUGGCGUGCACAGGCAGCCCCUUCUGGGGGCCAGUGGCAUGGCUGGUGGAAUGGCUUGCAAUCGACCCGUCUUGAAACACGGACCAAGGAGUCUAACAUGUAUGCGAGUAUAAGGGUGGCAAACCCGUAUGCGCAAUGAAAGUGAUUUUCGGUGAUUGAGAAUGGCCUGAUGACCAGACAAGCAAUAUAUGUCCCUCGUACGGCCAUUGCCCAAGUUCCGUGGUAGAUCCCACGAACAUGGAGUUGGAGCAUACAUGCUAGGACCCGAAAGAUGGUGAACUAUGCCUGGACAAAGCGAAGCCAAAGGAAACUCUGGUGGAGGCUUGUAGCGAUUCUGACGUGCAAAUCGAUCG
RNAcentral lists this ribosomal RNA (853 nucleotides) under Cantharellus anzutake. Its description in RNAcentral is "partial 28S rRNA". It matches the Rfam family "Eukaryotic large subunit ribosomal RNA", at positions 38 to 904 of the family's 3401-position model. Lineage: Eukaryota; Fungi; Basidiomycota; Agaricomycetes; Cantharellales; Hydnaceae. The record is from RNAcentral.